RNAcentral lists this unclassified non-coding RNA (345 nucleotides) under soil metagenome. RNAcentral's name for it is "partial contains 5.8S ribosomal RNA, internal transcribed spacer 2, and large subunit ribosomal RNA". The stretch from base 1 to 119 matches the Rfam family "5.8S ribosomal RNA", at positions 35 to 154 of the family's 154-position model. The record is from RNAcentral.
GAUGAAGAACGUAGCGAAAUGCGAUAAGUAAUGCGAAUUGCAGAAUCCGUGAGUCAUCGAAUCUUUGAACGCACAUUGCGCCCUCUGGUAUUCCGGGGGGCAUGCCUGUCCGAGCGUCAUUGCUGCCCUCAAGCACGGCUUGUGUGUUGGGCCCCGUCCUCCGAUUCCGGGGGACGGGCCCGAAAGGCAGCGGCGGCACCGCGUCCGGUCCUCGAGCGUAUGGGGCUUUGUCACCCGCUCUGUAGGCCCGGCCGGCGCUUGCCGAUCAACCCAAAUUUUUAUCCAGGUUGACCUCGGAUCAGGUAGGGAUACCCGCUGAACUUAAGCAUAUCAAUAAGCGGAGGA